Molecule: ribosomal RNA, 253 nt
Filed under: uncultured bacterium
Lineage: Bacteria
Description: partial 16S ribosomal RNA
Rfam family: Bacterial small subunit ribosomal RNA
Source: RNAcentral
UACGGAGGGUGCGAGCGUUAUUCGGAAUUACUGGGCGUAAAGCGCGUGCAGGCGGGAAGGUAAGUCUGAUGUGAAAGCCCCGGGCUUAACCCGGGAAGUGCAUUGGAAACUGCUUUUCUUGAGUACUGGAGAGGAAGGGGGAAUUCCCGGUGUAGAGGUGAAAUUCGUAGAGAUCGGGAGGAAUACCAGUGGCGAAGGCGCCCUUCUGGACGGUUACUGACGCUGAGACGCGAAAGCGUGGGGAGCAAACAGG